UACGUAGGGUGCAAGCGUUGUCCGGAAUUAUUGGGCGUAAAGAGCUCGUAGGCGGUUUGUCGCGUCUGCUGUGAAAUCCCAGGGCUUAACCCUGGGCCUGCAGUGGGUACGGGCAAACUAGAGUGCGGUAGGGGAGAUCGGAAUUCCUGGUGUAGCGGUGAAAUGCGCAGAUAUCAGGAGGAACACCGGUGGCGAAGGCGGAUCUCUGGGCCCUAACUGACGCUGAGGAGCGAAAGCAUGGGUAGCGAACAGG
This 253-nucleotide ribosomal RNA is filed under the name uncultured bacterium. RNAcentral describes it as "partial 16S ribosomal RNA". It matches the Rfam family "Bacterial small subunit ribosomal RNA", at positions 524 to 776 of the family's 1533-position model. The record is from RNAcentral.